RNAcentral lists this long non-coding RNA (3687 nucleotides) under Homo sapiens (human). RNAcentral describes it as "HSALNT0404623". Lineage: Eukaryota; Metazoa; Chordata; Mammalia; Primates; Hominidae. The record is from RNAcentral.
AGACCCGGAUGAGUCCUAGUCCCCGCCACACACAGGUCGUGGGUUCUCCUUUGAGAGUGACCACUGGUUCCUAGAGCUUUUCCUAAACUGGAGACGGAUCCUGCCCUGGGGGUCUCAGUCACCGCGAGGACUCGAGGGUAACUGCCAGAGGUCCCAGGUGGCCCGAGGUGAUGCCGGGCGCAGGGAGGGGCUGGGGCGGAGAGAGGGCUGGGGUUUGGGGCCGUGUCGGGGAUGAGUGGUGAGGGGUGCCCAGAAGGGGGAGGCAGAGGUUGGUGUGGCCACGGUGGAAGGAGCCACAAACGUGGACAUGUAAAGGAGGACCAAAAGGUUUUUUUUUGUAAAGAUCAAUAUUUAGGACAGAAAUCACAACCUUUCUAUAAAACAAAACAACUGUAUAAUUUAAAAAUUGAAUUGUGAGCUAAACGCAUAUGAGGGGUUACGGGUUUUCAAAAUUCAGAGAUUAGGAGCAAAACCAAAAACUUGUAGCCCGCUUCCCUGUGAGCCUCUUCUCCAGCCCAGCCCGGCUGCAGGACUCUGGGGCUGCCUUGAGGACGGGGUGCUAUUUCUCAGGUUUCGUCUGCAAAGGGGUAAGUCACCCCAAACCAGAGCACUCAGUGGUGGACUUACAGCCAAUCCUGAGCUUCUCAAGACACUAGAGUGCACCCCAGCCUGCCUGCCCCCGAGGCCUGGCACCAGCCAGUGCGGCAAACCAGCAGGCAGGGCACUGAAUGUCGUCUGAGCUGCAGGGCCCUUCCUGGGGCUGGGGGUCCAGGCCAGAGCCUCUGUGCUGUGUGUGUGUCCUUACUGUCCACGCCCGAGCCUCAUUUAUAUGGAGAACACAUUUCUUCUCAGAAAAGCAAACCUCAAGCAGUUGAACUGGAGAAUGAGGACAGAAGGGCUUAUGCAGAGCCGGGAUAUUUUUUACACAAAAUCAGAGGAGGGCGACCUUCAAACUAUUAUUUGUUUUUCUCCUUUGGCCUGGAACUAAUCAGCUUAGCAUGGAUGCCUGGGUGUCCCGGUGAGAUAGCGAACCCAUCUCAUUUGGGUGUUUACCUUUUAUAAAAGAAAAAAAAAUCCAUUUCUUAUGAGUACAUUGUUAUUUAUUCUAGAACUUCCCUCAUAAACCGUCAGUUCAUGCUAUGUAAUCCUAUAAAGUAGUUUAUUUUUAAAAAUCGUUGAAAGGAUAAGCAGAAGAUCGCCUCUUCCUGGCAUGUGUCAAAUUGCUUUAUAUGUAGCUAUUCUAGAGCAAAAAUGCUGACUGUCCGUUGAAUAUUGUCACUUGCCAAGCAGAGAGCUGCGCACCCCUUUCACCCAUCUGUGGGUCAGUAUGCAGUGUAUUUGGGGAUAUGACACAGUUUCUUAUCGCUUCCCAUCACCUGUCCUGUGUGAAUUGAGGCGGAAGUAAUCUCUUGAGGAUGACCUGUCUGUGUUUAAAUUGAAGAUGAAUAUUGCCAUGGACAAAUCUGAUUUGAUCAUUGAAGGGACAAGCCUCUGUUUUAGAAUUCAUUGUGUUGUCACUCAGUUUUGCUGUGAUUGCCUCCUUGGUGCCUCCUCUUUCUGCGACAAAACCGAGGGAAAAAAUAGGUGGGGGGAACUGUGCUGCAGGUACUUUUAAGUGGAUUCAAUUUACCUCUGUUUAAGUAGUAGAGAAAUAUGUUUGGGCCCUGGAGAGAAAAAUGCCCUGGAUAAUUUGCUUAUAAACCAGGCGCAUGCCUGGAGUGACCAGUGAGUGUGGCAGCAGCCAGGAGGGGCCACCCUGUUGUCCCUGCCUCAGGGCAGGCUCUCCCACCCCAGCUCCUUGGUGGUUCAGGUGACCUUGUGCAUCCCUCAUGUCAAGCCCUUGCCCAGGCAAGCAGGGGUGGGGCUGGAGCCCUGGGAUUCACACAGGGCACGCCGUGCACCAUGAGGUCAGUGACAUCAUAACAGAAGCCUGGCUUCUCAGACCCAUCCAGCCCCAGGAAUCCUGAAAGUGGGCAGACCUUCAGGGCACUGGGACAAUUUGGAGGGAAGGGAGGGGCUAUCUCAAGGAACCCUGCAGUGCAUGUACCUCUCAGGGAGAAACGGGUGACAGUGGAAGCGCCCUGGUCUGGGGAUCAAGGUACCUGGGCUUAAAGCUUUGCUCCCAUAUACCUCAGUCAGCCUCCUCCUCUGCAAAACAAAGACAGUAAAGCCUGGCCACCCACCCCUUGCUUGGUCUUCAGGGUGUCAAGAUGGAACUCACACUUUGAGUCUUGGCUGGGAUGGCGUUUGGGCUGGAUAAAGGAAGUACAGUGAAAGUAGAAGUGGUAGUCAGACCGAUGUGCAGCUGGGUUUGCUCUGCUGGGCAGUGAGAAGCAAGUGCUGAGUGACUGCCACCCAGAGGAACAUGGCUGUCAGGCCCUGUGACCCAGCACCUCUCCACCCUGGAUGUAAACUGCUGAGAAUCAAGGGGUGGGGCUCCCAGGAAUGAGGCCAUGGCAGAUGAGGAGGUCUGGAGUGUCUAGCCUAGUGCAAGCUAUUUGUUUCCCAGACAAAUAGCUCAGUGGAGCAGAAUAGAGAGCCCAGAAGUAGACCCAUAUAAAUAUAGUCAACUGAUGUUUGCCAAAAGUACAAAGGCAAUAAAAUGGACAAAAGAUAGUGUUUUCAACAAAUGGCGCUCGAUGUUCACAUGAAAAAAUAAAAGCAUGUAAACACAAAUCAUAAACCCUUCACAACAGCUAACUCUAAAUAGAUCACAGAAACUACAAACGACAAAAUUUCUAGAAAGUGACAUUAGAGAAAACCUAGAUGGCUUGGGUUUGGUGAUGACUUUUUAGGUACAACACCAAAGGCAACAUCUAUGAAGGAAACAAUAGGCUGGACUUCAUUAAAAUUAAAAACUGCUCUGCAAAAGAUAAAGCCAAGAGGCUGAAAAGACAGGUCAUAGACUGGGAGAAUAUGUUUGCAAAAGACACAUCUUAUAAAGGGUCAUUAUCUAAAAUCAAUAAAGACUCUUAAAGCUCAACAAUAAGAAAAUGAUCUGAUUUUUUAAAUGGGCAAAAUAAUUUAAGAGAUUCCUCACCCAAGAAGAUAUACAGAUGGCAAAUAAGCAUAUGAAAAGAUGCUCCAAAUCUUAUGAGGGAAGUGCAAAUUAAAACAAGAAUGAGAUGCCACUACACAUCUAUUAGAAUGGCGAAAAUCCAGAACACUGACAACACCAAAUGCUGGUGAGGAUGUGGAGCAACAGGAACGCUCAUUCAUUGCUGGUAGGAAUGCGAAUGGUACAGCCACUUUGGAGGACCGUUUGACAGUUUCUUACAAAACUAAAUAUAAUCUUACCAUAUGGUCCAGCAGUUGCGCUCCAAAGAAGCUGAAAACUUAGGUCCACACAAAACCUGCUCACGGAUGUUUAUAGCAGCUUUAUUCAUUAUUGCCAAACUUGGAAGCAACCAAGAUGUCCUUCCUUCAGUAAGUGAAUGGAUAAAUGAAACGUGGCACAUUUGGGCAAUGGAAUAUCAGUCAGUGCUGUAAAGAAAUUAGCUAGCAAGUAAUGAAAAGAUGUAGAGGAACCUUAAAUGCAUGUUACUAGGUGAAAUAAGUCUAUCUGAAAAGGCUAUAUAUUGUAUGAUUCCAACUAUAUGACAUUUUGAAAAAAGUCAAAACUGUGGAAACAGUAAAAAGACUAGCAGGAGUCAGGCAUUUGAGAGCAGGAGGAGUGAAUAGGCAUAG